AUUUUAACCUGCGUGUCGUGACCACGUUCGGUGUAGGGGGACAAAAUAAAUUGAUGCACGAUAGCGCACGCUCGCAGACGGUUUGGGUUCGGUGUUACAAGAUGCUCUCAAUUGUGCACCUGUAAAAGUUAGUGAGGGUUUUCGGUGAUAAGCCACAUUUUUUCAGCCUCCUGAGGUUGAAGAGGCGCUGUUGCACCUUCUUCACCACACUGUCUGUGUGCGUGGACCAUUUCAGUUUUGUCGGUGACAUGUACACCGAGGAACUUAAAACUUUCCACCUUCUCCACUGCUGUCCCGUUGAUGUGGAUAGCGGGGUGUUCCCUUUGCCUGCCUCUCGUGAUCCUCACAGCUUUCACUCUACCCAGAGCUCUCUCCACCAGUUUGGAUAUCUCAAAUGGAUUCCUCAAGAUUGGUAAUUUGAUCAGCUGCUUCUCGUUAAUAAACCGUACUCCAACAAGAUACGAAGUGACAUUCUCAUCACUGUACACUAAUUUGCUCCAUUUUCCAUUAUUUUGGACAAUGCUACAAUUCUCCUUGAUAAUACCGCCAUUAGAUUCCAAAUCCACUUCAUCAUCCGCUUCGCCAAAUUUUUCUCCGUAUAUGCUUCGCCUCUUCCCCUCUGGGCUUGAAUGCAAAACAGCCGUGUUCGUCAUAAUGACGCUAGAAGCAUGUGACUGGCCAGUCUGGAUGACGUAAUAAAAUCUGGAGGGAAGAAAAAGGAACUCGCUCUCAAUACUAUUAGAUCCAGUGAGUCGGCUACCGGCGAGGAGAAAGCUGAUCGGAACUGAAGACUAAAAGCUCUGAAGUUGAACACCUGUAAGGAAUAUAGUUUAUUUGAACAGGAAACAUGGGUGACAUUGAAAAGGGAAAGAAGGCUUUUGUCCAGAAGUGUGCCCAGUGCCAUACUGUUGAAAAUGGAGGAAAGCACAAGGUCGGGCCAAACCUCUGGGGUCUGUUUGGACGCAAGACUGGACAGGCUGAAGGCUUUUCCUACACGGAUGCCAACAAAGCCAAAGGCAUUGUCUGGGACACUGAUACCCUCAUGACUUACUUGGAGAACCCCAAGAAAUACAUUCCAGGAACAAAGAUGAUCUUUGCUGGCAUCAAGAAGAAGGGAGAACGUGCAGAUCUCAUAGCAUAUUUGAAGUCUGCAACUUCGUAGACUAAUGUCUACAUUUUGUUCAACGUUAUUAUUAUUUUUGUCUUCGAGAAAUAUCAACUGUUCAGAGGAGGGGGGGGAUCUUUCAAGAAGCUUAGACUCGUAUUCAUAACAGUUAUGCCUUAUGUCUGGUGAUUUGUUGUGGCUUUCAAUAGCCUGCAUGACAUAACUGCUGGGACUCAAUGGCAUUUGCAUGAUCAGUUGCCAUAUUGAUCACAGCUGUGUCUUUGUUUCUCCAUUUUGAUGGCGUAUAUUAUAUCCCCUGGUUUAACAGGUGCUAAUAUACAUCAAUUAUUGAGCCAUAGACUAAGUGUUCCAGAAUGUAUUGAGUCAAAGCUGUGUGACUAAAUGCUUUGAAACAACAAAUAGUCUAAAUUACACAUUGUAUGGUUACUGGUUUAAAUACUUGCAUGGCUAAUGCAAGCGGUCAAUCAGAUUUGGAAAGGUUUCUAAAUUUCAAAGGGUUACCUUGAAAGUGAUCCCUGGUAAUGUCUUCAUGUUGCUAAUACUUCAUAUUUCUUUAUGUAGGUUUGUUAAUUUAAUAAAUUACAUGCUAAACAAGUAUCCCAAUUGUUUUGUGGUCAAGGAUCAGGAAGGCAACACUGCUACUUCCUCCCUCUCUAACCAAGGUGCAGGAAUUGAGAAAAAACCCUGAAGGCUUAAAGGCAAGAGCUGGCAAUCUAACUAAUCUGAUUGGUCCCAGAAACGGGUUGGGUCAGAGCCAGAACACGUGGUUAAUGCAGUUUUGAACCUUUGUCAUUUGCUUUGAUAAUCUGGUUAGAUAUGAUCCAAUCGCUGAUGACUAGACCUCACCACAAACUACU
RNAcentral lists this long non-coding RNA (1983 nucleotides) under Salmo salar (Atlantic salmon). RNAcentral describes it as "lncRNA (ENSSSAG00000070772.2)". Lineage: Eukaryota; Metazoa; Chordata; Actinopteri; Salmoniformes; Salmonidae. The record is from RNAcentral.